RNAcentral lists this ribosomal RNA (497 nucleotides) under uncultured bacterium. RNAcentral describes it as "partial 16S ribosomal RNA". It matches the Rfam family "Bacterial small subunit ribosomal RNA", at positions 28 to 507 of the family's 1533-position model. The record is from RNAcentral.
GAUGAACGCUGGCGGCGUGCCUAAUACAUGCAAGUCGAGCGAACAGACGAGGAGCUUGCUCCUCUGACGUUAGCGGCGGACGGGUGAGUAACACGUGGAUAACCUACCUAUAAGACUGGGAUAACUUCGGGAAACCGGAGCUAAUACCGGAUAAUAUAUUGAGCCGCAUGGUUCAAUAGUGAAAGACGGUUUUGCUGUCACUUAUAGAUGGAUCCGCGCCGCAUUAGCUAGUUGGUAAGGUAACGGCUUACCAAGGCAACGAUGCGUAGCCGACCUGAGAGGGUGAUCGGCCACACUGGAACUGAGACACGGUCCAGACUCCUACGGGAGGCAGCAGUAGGGAAUCUUCCGCAAUGGGCGAAGGCCUGACGGAGCAACGCCGCGUGAGUGAUGAAGGUCUUCGGAUCGUAAAACUCUGUUAUUAGGGAAGAACAAAUGUGUAAGUAACUAUGCACGUCUUGACGGUACCUAAUCAGAAAGCCACGGCUAACUACGUG